UUUCUCCAAUUUUUUUUCUUUCAUAGCCAUUCUUCCUUCUCCCACGCCAAUAUCUCUUUCCAACCAAACCAGAUGACGAAGCCACCAUAAAAGUGAACCCAUGUCGAUACGAGUCUAUCUAAAGACUUUCAUGAGAGGAGAGAAAAAUCAGUAUUCGAAGUUUACGAUGGCUGCUUCUUUCUUUUUCCAAAUUCUACCAUCUUUCGCCACCGAUUGACGCUGCCAGCUUCAGCAACAAGUUCUUCAGCCUCUAACUCUCUCUCCUCUUUGCCUCGAUCUCCUAUGUAUUCAACCAUUGAUGGCAGAAGAGA
Molecule: long non-coding RNA, 311 nt
Filed under: Ricinus communis (castor bean)
Lineage: Eukaryota; Viridiplantae; Streptophyta; Magnoliopsida; Malpighiales; Euphorbiaceae
Description: long non-coding RNA (RCOM_LNC003608)
Source: RNAcentral